GACGAACGCUGGCGGCGUGCUUAACACAUGCAAGUCGAACGGAAAGGCCCUGCUUUUGUGGGGUGCUCGAGUGGCGAACGGGUGAGUAACACGUGAGUAACCUGCCCUUGACUUUGGGAUAACUUCAGGAAACUGGGGCUAAUACCGGAUAGGAGCUCCUGCUGCAUGGUGGGGGUUGGAAAGUUUCGGCGGUUGGGGAUGGACUGGCGGAUUAUCAGCUUGUUGGUGGGGUGGCUUACCAAGGCUUUGACGGGUAGCCGGCCGUCGAGGGUGGACGGCCACCUUGGGACUGAGAUACGGACCAGACUCCUACGGGAGGCAGCAGUGGGGAAUAUUGCCCAAUGGGCGGAAGCCUGAUGCAGCAACGCCGCGUGCGGGAUGACGGCCUUCGGGUUGUAAACCGCUUUAGCCUGUGACGAAGCGUGAGUGACGGUACUGGGUAAAGAAGCACCGGCUAACUACGUG
Molecule: ribosomal RNA, 465 nt
Filed under: uncultured bacterium
Lineage: Bacteria
Description: partial 16S ribosomal RNA
Rfam family: Bacterial small subunit ribosomal RNA
Source: RNAcentral